GACAGAGGGUGCGAACGUUGCUCGGAAUUACUGGGCGUAAAGCGCGUGUAGGCGGGUGAUCAAGUCAGGUGUGAAAUCCCUGGGCUCAACCCAGGAACUGCACUUGAAACUGGUUGCCUUGAGUGUUGGAGAGGGAAGCGGAAUUCCUGGUGUAGAGGUGAAAUUCGUAGAUAUCGGGAGGAACACCAGCGGCGAAGGCGGUCAUCUGGACCACAACUGACGCUGAGGCGCGAAAGCUAGGGGAGCAAAC
This 250-nucleotide ribosomal RNA is filed under the name uncultured bacterium. Its description in RNAcentral is "partial 16S ribosomal RNA". It matches the Rfam family "Bacterial small subunit ribosomal RNA", at positions 524 to 773 of the family's 1533-position model. The record is from RNAcentral.